CCUAUUGAAACAGGUGACUGACAGUGAGCAGAGCGCGCUGUUAGAAGAGUCUGCUUGUCCUGGCCGAUGCUGCACGCUAAACAUGGAUUUUUGAAAGAAACUUUAAACGAUGAGUGCAUAAAUCUUAUCUUUCUGACAAAAGUGAUUAUACCAAAACCGGGCCGAUGUUAGUUGAACGCUAAAAAUGUAGUGUUAAUAUGCCAGUUGACUUUUUUUUUUCUUUUUUCUGUCGGUUCACAGAUUAGCUAACGUUAACAUUUAAAUUAGCUGUUUCUGUCAGGUUACAGUUUAUAACGUUAGCCAGUGUGUUUCUGUAUGUUCACAGUUUAGUUAUAACGUUUGCAUUUUGCAUUCGUUGUUUUUUUUCUGUCUGUUCAUAUCAGCAUGUGUGAAUGUACGCUUGUGGCUAACGCUAGCGUAUGUCUCUUUGGUGUAUUAUUAUGGAAGGUCAGACUCAAGAGCCAACCGAUAUUAAGUCACUGGUGCUCAGAGGGCUCCAGACUGUCCUUGGUGACAACCCCACGAACUUCUUCAAAGCAUGGUUUGACUCCGAUGAUGAUCACUCAUUUCGCCACCUUGACUUUGGGAUCCCCUUGUUGAGCACGAAGGUGCUGUGCUCCCAUCUUCCCUUCAUCUCAAUCCAGCUUCAAUUAAGAUCAUCAUUGAGGGAGAAGUUGUGAUGGAAGGUAUUAAAGACUUGCCAAAAGCUGUGUACAUUCUCUUUGGACUUGCAUAUGCACUGUAUCUCAACUAACCCAAAUCAAUGAAGAACACAUUCCAGUUCACCCAAGUUCUUCUCAUGUUGGGCCACAGUGAACUAAAAUCCAGCUUACAAAAAUAAAAAAUAAAAAACAGCUUACAAUUUGAUUUUCACAAAGGAAUUGUGAGAAGUUUCCAUGACUGUUUUUUGUUCUCAAGAAGGGUGAUGUGAAUCUUUGAACAGAUUCUUUUUCAGAUUGUCCAGUCACUGCAAUAAGUGCUCUAAAGUUUACCAGUGUUCUGCGCUAAAAGUGUACUGUAUGUUUAAAACGGCAUAUUGUUGCUCUAUUGAUACGAGUUAUGUUGUCAACAGUUGGAGUGUGCGUGUGUGGUCUUUUUCUUUAAUCUUUAAUUUUCAUUCAGUUUAAUGCUUGUCUGCAUAUUGUAUACUAUAUUGAAUACUGUGUUCAUUUUCCUCUAAACAAUUUACAAUUGUUAAGCAAAAAGAUUUGCUUAUGCAAAAUUUUUUUACUUGUCCUUUUGGUUGACGAGUACAUUGAAGUGUUUAAAAAAACUAAAUAAUAAUAAAAAAAAACAAUAAAAUUCAUAAAAAAAAACA
Molecule: long non-coding RNA, 1318 nt
Organism: Ctenopharyngodon idella (grass carp)
Lineage: Eukaryota; Metazoa; Chordata; Actinopteri; Cypriniformes; Xenocyprididae
Exons: 3
Source: RefSeq, a predicted model, not a curated record